AGUGUGCGCCCAGGUCAGUCGAUGAAAGAAAGAGGGCCUUCCAUCUCCUCCUUGUUCCUCGGCAAGACGCAGCCAAACCAGGUGAGGCCAUUUGCUGCGGCGCUUCGACGUGAAGGCCUGGUUGGCGUUGCGGUUUUCUUCCGCGGGCUCCUGAAAAUUGAAAACAAAACAAAACAAAACAAAAAACUGAAAAGCCGGCUCCGCUCAGGCAAAGGAGAUCCGGGUUCUCUCCCACCCCCUUGCUUGCCUUGGCCACGUCGCGGCACCUCAAUCGCCAGUGAAGCGUCGCAGACCUUAUACCGACGCCUCCAGUUUUCCAGGGGAGGUGGGCAAAGGCAGGGAGGGAAGAGCAAAGUGGGGAGGGAGAAGUUUUAA
This 375-nucleotide long non-coding RNA is filed under the name Bos grunniens (domestic yak). RNAcentral's name for it is "lncRNA (ENSBGRG00000008645.1)". The record is from RNAcentral. Lineage: Eukaryota; Metazoa; Chordata; Mammalia; Artiodactyla; Bovidae.